RNAcentral lists this long non-coding RNA (417 nucleotides) under Nicotiana benthamiana. RNAcentral describes it as "long non-coding RNA (NBEN_LNC040194)". The record is from RNAcentral. Lineage: Eukaryota; Viridiplantae; Streptophyta; Magnoliopsida; Solanales; Solanaceae.
AGCCAUAUAAGGAGACCAAGGACCUCAAAUUCCUCCGAUGUGGGACAACUCAACACCCCCCAGCACGCCCAGAUCUCUGGAGCGUGGACAACAUAAAUGGGGACCCAACAUCGGUAACAAUAAAUUGGGAUGGGCCUGGCUCUGAUACCAUGUUAACAUUCUAUGUCGUCGGAUUAAAAGAAAAUUGAAGAAGGAGAUGAACAGUCGAGAAGAGAGAGAAGAGAGAAAAUGAAAGAUUGAGAUUGCAUUGAAAAAUGAAUUGUCUCGAACUUUCUGACCCUCCUUCAGUAUAUACAGAUGUAAUAAAAAAUCUAAUGUGUGUGUGUGUAAUUACAUUUGUGUCCCUAUCUCAUAUACAAAUUUAUACAACAAUUAAAUAAGCUAACUACCCUUGGGCUGCUUUGGAGUUGGGCUGGC